CCUACGGGGGGCAGCAGUGGGGAAUAUUGGACAAUGGGGGCAACCCUGAUCCAGCCAUGCCGCGUGUGUGAAGAAGGCCCUCGGGUUGUAAAGCACUUUCAGUGAGGAAGAACGCCUGGUGGUUAAUACCCAUCAGGAAAGACAUCACUCACAGAAGAAGCACCGGCUAACUCCGUGCCAGCAGCCGCGGUAAUACGGAGGGUGCGAGCGUUAAUCGGAAUUACUGGGCGUAAAGCGCGCGUAGGUGACUUGAUAAGCCGGUUGUGAAAGCCCCGGGCUCAACCUGGGAACGGCAUCCGGAACUGUCAAGCUAGAGUGCAGGAGAGGAAGGUAGAAUUCCCGGUGUAGCGGUGAAAUGCGUAGAGAUAGGGAGGAAUACCAGUGGCGAAGGCGGCCUUCUGGACUGACACUGACACUGAGGUGCGAAAGCGUGGGUAGCAAACAGGAUUAGAUACCCCAGUAGUC
RNAcentral lists this ribosomal RNA (465 nucleotides) under Vreelandella stevensii. Its description in RNAcentral is "partial 16S ribosomal RNA". It matches the Rfam family "Bacterial small subunit ribosomal RNA", at positions 338 to 795 of the family's 1533-position model. The record is from RNAcentral. Lineage: Bacteria; Pseudomonadati; Pseudomonadota; Gammaproteobacteria; Oceanospirillales; Halomonadaceae.